GGCCAAGUUUUUAAGGGCGCACGGUGGAUGCCUUGGCACCAGGAACCGAUGAAGGACGUGGGAGGCCACGAUAGUCCCCGGGGAGUCGUCAACCAGGCUUUGAUCCGGGGGUUUCCGAAUGGGGAAACCCGGCAGUCGUCAUGGGCUGUCACCCGCUGCUGAACACAUAGGCAGUGUGGAGGGAACGCGGGGAAGUGAAACAUCUCAGUACCCGCAGGAAGAGAAAACAACCGUGAUUCCGGGAGUAGUGGCGAGCGAAACCGGAUGAGGCCAAACCGUAUGCGUGUGAGACCCGGCAGGGGUUGCGUGUGCGGGGUUGUGGGAUCUCUCUUUUACGGUCUGCCGGCCGUGAGACGAGUCAGAAACCGUUGAUGUAGGCGAAGGACAUGCGAAAGGUCCGGCGUAGAGGGUAAGACCCCCGUAGUCGAAACAUCAGCGGCUCGUUUGAGAGACACCCAAGUAGCACGGGGCCCGAGAAAUCCCGUGUGAAUCUGGCGGGACCACCCGCUAAGCCUAAAUAUUCCCUGGUGACCGAUAGCGGAUAGUACCGUGAGGGAAUGGUGAAAAGUACCGCGGGAGCGGAGUGAAAUAGUACCUGAAACCGUGUGCCUACAAGCCGUGGGAGCGUCGGAUGGGAGCUUGCUUCCAUCUCGUGACUGCGUGCCUUUUGAAGAAUGAGCCUGCGAGUUUGCGGUGUGUUGCGAGGUUAACCCGGGUGGGGUAGCCGUAGCGAAAGCGAGUCCGAAUAGGGCGUUUGAGUAGCACGCUCAAGACCCGAAGCGGAGUGAUCUAGCCAUGGGCAGGUUGAAGCGGCUGUAAGAGGUCGUGGAGGACCGAACCCACCAGGGUUGAAAACCUGGGGGAUGACCUGUGGUUAGGGGUGAAAGGCCAAUCAAACUCCGUGAUAGCUGGUUCUCCCCGAAAUGCAUUUAGGUGCAGCGUCGUGUGUUUCUUGCCGGAGGUAGAGCACUGGAUAGGCGAUGGGCCCUACCGGGUUACUGACCUUAGCCAAACUCCGAAUGCCGGUAAGUGAGAGCGCGGCAGUGAGACUGUGGGGGAUAAGCUCCAUGGUCGAGAGGGAAACAGCCCAGAGCAUCGACUAAGGCCCCUAAGCGUACGCUAAGUGGGAAAGGAUGUGGAGUCGCAGAGACAACCAGGAGGUUGGCUUAGAAGCAGCCACCCUUGAAAGAGUGCGUAAUAGCUCACUGGUCUAGUGAUUCCGCGCCGACAAUGUAGCGGGGCUCAAGCGUACCGCCGAAGUCGUGUCAUUGCAGCAUGUACUCCCAACGGAGGCUGUGAUGGGUAGGGGAGCGUCGUCUGCCGGGUGAAGCAGCCGCGUAAGCGAGUUGUGGACGGUUGACGAGUGAGAAUGCAGGCAUGAGUAGCGAUUCACACGUGGGAAACGUGUGCGCCGAUUGACUAAGGGUUCCUGGGUCAAGCUGAUCUGCCCAGGGUAAGUCGGGACCUAAGGCGAGGCCGACAGGCGUAGUCGAUGGAUAACCGGUUGAUAUUCCGGUACCCGCUGUGAAGCGUCAAACAUCGAGCAUCGUGAUGCUAAGGCCGUGAAACCGCC
Streptomyces griseoaurantiacus M045 is the source of this 1573-nucleotide ribosomal RNA. It matches the Rfam family "Bacterial large subunit ribosomal RNA", at positions 1 to 1499 of the family's 2925-position model. The record is from Rfam. Lineage: Bacteria; Bacillati; Actinomycetota; Actinomycetes; Kitasatosporales; Streptomycetaceae.